GGGCGACUAGCUCAGCUGGGAGAGCGCUACGUUCGCAUCGUAGAGGUCGCGAGUUCGAUCCUCGCGUCGUCCACCA
Molecule: transfer RNA, 76 nt
Filed under: Acidobacteriota bacterium
Lineage: Bacteria; Pseudomonadati; Acidobacteriota
Description: Acidobacteria bacterium (wastewater metagenome) tRNA-Ala
Rfam family: tRNA
About the family: Transfer RNA (tRNA) molecules are approximately 80 nucleotides in length. Their secondary structure includes four short double-helical elements and three loops (D, anti-codon, and T loops).
Source: RNAcentral